Molecule: transfer RNA, 74 nt
Filed under: Candidatus Hodgkinia cicadicola
Lineage: Bacteria; Pseudomonadati; Pseudomonadota; Alphaproteobacteria; Hyphomicrobiales
Description: tRNA-Glu
Rfam family: tRNA
About the family: Transfer RNA (tRNA) molecules are approximately 80 nucleotides in length. Their secondary structure includes four short double-helical elements and three loops (D, anti-codon, and T loops). Further hydrogen bonds mediate the characteristic L-shaped molecular structure. tRNAs have two regions of fundamental functional importance: the anti-codon, which is responsible for specific mRNA codon recognition, and the 3' end, to which the tRNAs corresponding amino acid is attached (by aminoacyl-tRNA synthetases). tRNAs cope with the degeneracy of the genetic code in two manners: having more than one tRNA (with a specific anti-codon) for a particular amino acid; and 'wobble' base-pairing, i.e. permitting non-standard base-pairing at the 3rd anti-codon position.
Source: RNAcentral
GCACUUGUCGUCUAACGGCAGGACGUUGCCUUUUCGGGGCAAGAACAUGGGUUCGACACCCGUCAAGUGCGCCA